AUGAGGGUACCUUGGACCAUAUCUUUUUCUGCUGUCCCAAAAACCAGUCCUCCCUUUAUGACCUCCUCCCUAUCAAUAUUCCUCGCCCUAUCAAUUUUAAAUCAAUUUUAUGUUAUAUAUAUUCAACAGAAUUUAAGGUAUUAUUAGACACUGUACCUUGUUUCUUCACCAGAUCCGCAAUAUAGAGCAAAGUCUACCCAAAAUCACUCUGACAAUGGCAACUCACUGAGGCCGCCAU
Molecule: long non-coding RNA, 238 nt
Organism: Aricia agestis (brown argus)
Lineage: Eukaryota; Metazoa; Arthropoda; Insecta; Lepidoptera; Lycaenidae
Exons: 2
Source: RefSeq, a predicted model, not a curated record